AAGUCGUAACAAGGUUUCCGUAGGUGAACCUGCGGAAGGAUCAUUAUUGAAUAAACUUGGUUGGGCUGUUGCUGGCUUCUUUGGAGCAUGUGCACGCUUAACACCAAUUUUAACCCACCUGUGCACUUUAUGUAGGCUUUGGAUCAAGUUAAAUUGCAAGUUUUCAAUAGGAAACUUGGUUUGCUUCUGAGAACUGCUGUAAAAUUCAGCUUUCUCUGGUUGAUCUGGGUCUAUGUCUUUUUAAAUACACACUUGUAUGAAUGUUUGGAAUGUCUGUAAUAUAGGACAUUGAUCCUGUAAAACUUUAUAUACAACUUUCAACAACGGAUCUCUUGGCUCUC
Molecule: unclassified non-coding RNA, 341 nt
Filed under: air metagenome
Description: partial contains small subunit ribosomal RNA, internal transcribed spacer 1, and 5.8S ribosomal RNA
Rfam family: Eukaryotic small subunit ribosomal RNA (bases 1-46)
Source: RNAcentral